Molecule: ribosomal RNA, 750 nt
Filed under: Klebsiella aerogenes
Lineage: Bacteria; Pseudomonadati; Pseudomonadota; Gammaproteobacteria; Enterobacterales; Enterobacteriaceae
Description: partial 16S ribosomal RNA
Rfam family: Bacterial small subunit ribosomal RNA
Source: RNAcentral
GAUGGAGGGGGAUAACUAGUGAAAACGGUCUCUAACACCGCAUAACCUCACAACACCAAAGAGGGGGACCUUCGGGCCUCUUGCCAUCAGAUGUGCCCAUAUGGUUUUAUCUAAUUGUGGGGUAACGGCUCCUCUACGCCACUCCCUAUCUGGUCUGAGAGGAUGACCCCCCACACUGGAACUGACACACGCUCCACACUCCUACGGGAGGCAGCAGGGGAGAAUAUUGCACAGUGGGCGCAACCCUGAUGCCCCCGUGCCGCGUGUAUGAAAAAGGCCUUCGGUUUGUAAAGUUUUCCGCGGGGAAGAAGGCGAUGGGGUUAAUAACCUUGUAUAUUGACUUUACCCGCAAAAAAAACACCGGCUAACUCCGUGCCAACAGCCGCGAUAAUACAGAGGGUGCACGCUUUACUCAGAAUUACUGGGCGUAAAGCGCACGCGCGGCUCUUCAAGUCAGAUGUAAAAUCCCCGGUCUCAACCUGGGAACUGCAUUCGAAACGCAGGCUAGACUCUUGUACAGGGGGGUAAAAUUCCGGGUGUCGCGGUGAAGUGCAUAAUAUCGGGAAUAAUACCUGGCGAAGGGGCCCCCCAAAAAAACAGACUCUCAUGUGCAAAAAGCUGGAGCACAAACAAUUAUAAUAUACCCCUGAUUCUCCACGCCGAAGACGAUCUCUAUUUGGAGGGUUGUGCCCCUGGAGGCGUCUCCUCCCUGAGCACAACGCUUUAAGUCACACCCCCCCGCGGGAUAAG